UUUUUAUUUAAAAAUUAAUAUCAACAAGUGGAUGAGAAUCAUCAUUCAGUGGGAAAAUCGACCACCAUAAAUGAAUUAGAAGACCUCAGCCUGUACAUCCAAUACUAAUCAAUCAUCUUGCUAAAUGCAUCAGCCUUAUGUCAUGUCUCAAUCAGAACAAAAUACUAAACAAGUAAAUAUACAAAAAUUCCUUCUCAUGGCAGCAUAAUCGAUCUCAGAGACAGAACUAUUCAUAGAGAAUAUCUUAACUGAAUACAAAAUGAUAGAAGAGCUCAAUUUCAUCCUCCAGCAAAACAAUCGAUGUCACAUGCAAAGUAAUUUCGAUGAGCCAUAACAGAGAGUCAUCAUCUCUAAGGAAAUACAAAAGCAAAAACUAGAAAAUCUCCUGACAAAAAUGGCAUAAAGAUCCAAAUACACAAACAAACAUUUUUGGCGACAAAGGAACCAUAACACUAAAACUCUUCAACCGUAUGCUAAAACUAAGAAGCUCAAACCAUUGAUUCCAGUUAGCACAGGCAGGGCAUUGCUAGAAAAACAUAUAUCAUCAUCGAUUGGAAAUUACCUAACAGUAACAAUGUCAUCAAUCUUCAGAAUCAUCCGCACACACUCAGUUGCCAGUGUUAUUGCACUUGUGCUCACAAGCAAUGGUUGCACCACAUUCUCCUCCAAGAUAUUUGUUAUCUGUCCCUUUCUGACAUUGAUUCCGGCAUUGAUCUCCCCUUGAGCAUGCCUAUUCCUCAGCUCAGUUACAAUAGCAAUGGGAUUCAGGCCAGCAUUCUCUGCCAAAGUAUAUGGUAUCACCUCAAGUGCCUCAGCAAAAGACCUCACACAGUAUCCUUCCAUCCCAUGUAGCACCUUUGCCCAAGCCCCAAGCUGCCUCGACAAUUCUAUCUCUGGAGCCCCACCUCCAGCAAUUAAAAAUCGCUUAUUCACCAGACAUCUAACCACACAUAAUGCAUCAUGCAAGCUUCGCUCUGCCUCAUCAAUAACCAACUGGUUUGAUCCACGCACAAGCACCGUUGUAGUCCUUCCCAUAUUCUUAAUUCCAGUAAUCUUGACAAUCUUGCUAUCACCAAGUGAAACCUCCUCAACAAGAUCUGCGUGCCCCAGUUUAUCCUCCCUGAAAUGUUCAAUAUUUGCAAUAGGCAAGCAAUUCAAAGUCUUAGUGAUGAACUCAAUCUCAUCUCUCUCCACAUCCUUAACCACCAAAAUCUUGGCUUUAGCCAAAUAAUGCAGGGACAAAUCUGUGACUGCAUCUCUCAAGAUGCUCUUUUGAAUCAACAAUACAUUGCACCCAGUUGCCUUAAUCUUCUUAAUCAUACCCAAAAUAUAAUUUCUCUCUUCCUUCAAAAUCCUAUCCAUUUGUGUAUAGUCAGAGACCACAAUGCUCUGCUCUAUAUCAGUCUUUGGAGGAGAAAUUUGGAAUUGAAUCACUGCAAUCUUCGCGUUCUCAACUCGUGUUGGUCCACCAGCUGCAUGGCUCACUUUCUUAUCAAAAACUAAGCCUUUAACCAUCUCCGUAUCAUCCACAGUCCCGCCUAGCUUCUUCACUAUCCUAACAUCCCUCAAGUCCACCAAAUCGGGCUUGGCAGGGUCCACUACAGAGAGAACUGCAUCUACCGCUAAUGGAGCUAGAAGCGUAGAAUACUGACUCACGACUUUACUAUUCAAAGAAGUGCUUGCAGAUUUAAUUAGGGAUUCCCCGUCCGAUAACUCCACAGGGACAGCCAUGGCAGUCAAUACAUCGAUAGCUUUAAUAGAUGCUUUAUGAAGAGAAUCGGAGAUUACCGUGGGGUGGAUUCCACUGGAAAGAAGCGAGAGACACUGCUUCAAAAGCGCGCCAGCAAUGACGACGACGGUGGUGGUGCCAUCACCAGCAGCGGCGUCCUGAGCCUUUGAGAGCUCGACAAGCAUUUUGGCGGCGGGCUGAAGGACCUCCAUUUUGUUGAGAAUUGUAGCGCCAUCGUUGGUGAUGAUUACUUCACCAUUGGCGGCGGAAAUCAUUUUGUCCAUACCUUUGGGUCCCAGACUGGUCCGGACUGCGUCCGCCACGGCUCGAGCGGCGACGAUGUUGGCAUGGCGGAUGUCCUCUUUGCGCUUAUUGUCGACAUAAGAAUCGGUUUUGGAGGAUCUGGGCCGGGAGAUUGCCGGUGCCGCCAUUAGGGUUUUGAAGAUCGAAAGGUGAAACCCUAAGCCUAACGUAAGAUAUGGGUAGGACCGUAGGAGUUGCG
This 2231-nucleotide unclassified non-coding RNA is filed under the name Hevea brasiliensis (rubber tree). The record is from RNAcentral. Lineage: Eukaryota; Viridiplantae; Streptophyta; Magnoliopsida; Malpighiales; Euphorbiaceae.